RNAcentral lists this ribosomal RNA (1020 nucleotides) under uncultured bacterium. RNAcentral describes it as "bacterial SSU rRNA". It matches the Rfam family "Bacterial small subunit ribosomal RNA", at positions 1 to 1023 of the family's 1533-position model. The record is from RNAcentral.
UAGAGUUUGAUCCUGGCUCAGAUUGAACGCUGGCGGCAUGCCUUACACAUGCAAGUCGAACGGCAGCACGGGGGCAACCCUGGUGGCGAGUGGCGAACGGGUGAGUAAUACAUCGGAACGUGUCCUGUAGUGGGGGAUAGCCCGGCGAAAGCCGGAUUAAUACCGCAUACGCUCUACGGAGGAAAGGGGGGGAUCUUAGGACCUCCCGCUACAGGGGCGGCCGAUGGCAGAUUAGCUAGUUGGUGGGGUAAGGGCCUACCAAGGCGACGAUCUGUAGCUGGUUUGAGAGGACGACCAGCCACACUGGGACUGAGACACGGCCCAGACUCCUACGGGAGGCAGCAGUGGGGAAUUUUGGACAAUGGGGGCAACCCUGAUCCAGCAAUGCCGCGUGUGUGAAGAAGGCCUUCGGGUUGUAAAGCACUUUUGUCCGGAAAGAAAACGUCGUGGUUAAUACCCGUGGCGGCUGACGGUACCGGAAGAAUAAGCACCGGCUAACUACGUGCCAGCAACCGCGGUAAUACGUAGGGUGCAAGCGUUAAUCGGAAUUACUGGGCGUAAAGCGUGCGCAGGCGGUCCGCUAAGACAGAUGUGAAAUCCCCGGGCUUAACCUGGGAACUGCAUUUGUGACUGGCGGGCUAGAGUAUGGCAGAGGGGGGUAGAAUUCCACGUGUAGCAGUGAAAUGCGUAGAGAUGUGGAGGAAUACCGAUGGCGAAGGCAGCCCCCUGGGCCAAUACUGACGCUCAUGCACGAAAGCGUGGGGAGCAAACAGGAUUAGAUACCCUGGUAGUCCACGCCCUAAACGAUGUCAACUAGUUGUCGGGUCUUCAUUGACUUGGUAACGUAGCUAACGCGUGAAGUUGACCGCCUGGGGAGUACGGUCGCAAGAUUAAAACUCAAAGGAAUUGACGGGGACCCGCACAAGCGGUGGAUGAUGUGGAUUAUUUCGAUGCAACGCGAAAAACCUCACCUACCCUUGACAUGUAUGGAAUCUUGUUGAGAGGUGGGAGUGCCCGAAA